AUAUCAAUAAGCGGAGGAAAAGAAACUAACCAGGAUUCCCCUAGUAACGGCGAGUGAAGCGGGAACAGCUCAAAUUUUAAAUCUGGCCGGCGUUGUCGCUCAGAGUUGUAAUUUGAAGAAGCGGUUAUCACGUUUUCGUUCGGGUUCAAGUUCCUUGGAAUAAGCCAUCAGAGAGGGUGAGAAUCCCGUCUUUGAUCUGGUUGUUGGCGGUACGAUGCGUCCUCUAAGAGUCGAGUUGUUUGGGAUUGCAGCUCAAAAUGGGUGGUAAAUUCCAUCUAAGGCUAAAUAUAGGCGAGAGACCGAUAGCGCACAAGUA
This 316-nucleotide ribosomal RNA is filed under the name uncultured eukaryote. RNAcentral describes it as "partial large subunit ribosomal RNA". It matches the Rfam family "Eukaryotic large subunit ribosomal RNA", at positions 40 to 350 of the family's 3401-position model. The record is from RNAcentral.